UGCAGUAUAGAUUGGCUGCAGUAGGUUCACUGUAGGAGUAGGGUAUGCACCUAUAAGGAAUCUAUCGAUCUUGAUAGAUAAGGAGAGAUCCUAUGUGAUUUAUAAGACUGAGUUCGUAAGACCUCGGUCGGAGCAGAUUGCACAAUGGAGAAAGAGUUCUCCGCUCUCGAACUUUAGUCGAAUAAAUCUUGACAUAUGACAGACGAAGGAGUUUGACGAGUUAUCUAUGACCUCCAUCCCGUAGGGAUCCACGAUAGAAGAACUGUAUCACAUGAUAACU
This 280-nucleotide long non-coding RNA is filed under the name Phoenix dactylifera (date palm). RNAcentral describes it as "long non-coding RNA (PDAC_LNC011158)". Lineage: Eukaryota; Viridiplantae; Streptophyta; Magnoliopsida; Arecales; Arecaceae. The record is from RNAcentral.